GGGGGGGGUUAACCCUAGCUGGACCUGGCACCCAGACCACUUCAUUAAGCUGGUCUGGGUGCCUAUAGUGGUCCUUUAGUGGAGGCUACCCAGUGGUGCAUUCUCUUAAAGAUUUUCUCUGUGGUUUUCAUACAAGAUACAUAACUACCUAUGUUCUAAUUGGUCUCGGUUCGGGAACUGAACAAAACUGGUACAUGAUGGUAUAUAGCCGAAACAGUGAUGGGGUUUUCCUUCACACACUUUAUUUACUUACCUGAUCCCAGUGCUGAUGUCUCUCGGCGCUGGGUCUGAUGCGCAUGCCCGGCAAAUGCUGCGUGUGCAUUAGACCUCCCCUAUAGGAAAGCAUUGAAUCGAUGCUGGAGGUCCUCAUGCAGAGCGUGAGGACGUCCAGCGUCACAUAACGGCUGUCUGGUAGGCUAAGGGCAGACUUAGUGACGCAAUGUUUCUCUGAAACUAGGUGUAAAAGGGACACAGCACCCAGACCACUUCAAUUAGCUGAAGUGGUCUGGGUGCCUACAGUGUCACUUUAAUAAAUCAAAGGGACUGUCCAAUUUAUCUUGGUGAAAUGCUUUGUGUGAAGAUUUUUAUUAUGAUUUCAUUUUACAAAAAGUGUAGAUUUCAAUAGCAAUUCUCACUUUAAUAAAUUAACCUGGUUAUACCGGCGUCUGUCUGACACUGUCCUGUUACUUCCUGGUUUGGUUAGCUCUGUGGAGCUAAACUCAAGUGGCAUCAAUUCUUGCAAAGACUUCUCAUUGAGCUGUAUUGGGUAGUCUGUGAUUGGACAGCUACCGAAAGUCUGUGCGGAGUUGUAGCAAACUCACCCCUUUAACCCCUUAAGGACCAAACUUCUGGAAUAAAAGGGAAUCAUGACAUGUCACACGUCAUGUGUCCUUAAGGGGUUAAGAGAGUUUGCCAUGAGCUUUUGGGGGUAUUGUCAUUUAAAGACCGUAUUUGGGCGUAUUGUACUGCACUGUUUCUGGCCCUUUAAGUACUCUGGGAAAAGGCCUGCAGCUUUGUUAUGGCACUUCGGAUGCAGCUGAAGUAAUCGGAGUGUCCGCCAUUCGACAGCCGAACACGUGGUUCAUUCGCACGUGGUCAGUUCAUUUGCAUUUUAGUUCAUUCGCACGUGGUCAGUUGUGUUUUGCCGUCAAUUUCAUGGAACUGAAAUCGGCUACUUGAUGGCACGAACACCGCUGAAGUUUAUCUUCUCAUCCACUUUGGCUAAAGUCGAAGUACGUUCGACAAAUCAAACGCCAGGUUAUGCUGUACUAUUUGUACAAACGGCCCCAUUCGUGCAUUCGAAUGAGACUUAGACAUUUUUCUUGUAUGAAAUUGACCGACCGCACAGCCCAAAUCUAUGGAACUGUUUUGGGCAGAAAAGGACUCCCGACUAACUUUUGAACUACUGGAGGCAUUUGUAUGAUUUUUGAGUGUGUGUGCUGAUUCUGAAAAUGUUUUAUGUGAAUGGCAUGUAUAUUUUGGAAGUUAUUAAAGGACCACUCUAGGCACCCAGACCACUUCAGCUUAAUGAAGUGGUCUGGGUGCUUGGUCCAGCUAGGGUUAACCCAUU
This 1570-nucleotide long non-coding RNA is filed under the name Pelobates cultripes (western spadefoot toad). The record is from RNAcentral. Lineage: Eukaryota; Metazoa; Chordata; Amphibia; Anura; Pelobatidae.